GAACCACUCCUCCAACUAUUAC
This 22-nucleotide non-coding RNA is filed under the name Arabidopsis thaliana (thale cress). The record is from RNAcentral. Lineage: Eukaryota; Viridiplantae; Streptophyta; Magnoliopsida; Brassicales; Brassicaceae.